GACGAACCGUGCAAACGUUGUUCGGAAUCACUGGGCUUAAAGGGCGCGUAGGCGGGCCAUCAAGUCCGGGGUGAAAUCCCCCAGCUUAACUGGGGAAGUGCCCUGGAUACUGGUGGCCUCGAGGAGGGUAGGGGCAUCUGGAACGUUGGGUGGAGCGGUGAAAUGCGUAGAUAUCGGGAGGAACACCUGAGGCGAAGGCGGGCUACUGGGCCGAUACUGACGCUGAUGCGCGAAAGCCAGGGGAGCGAACGGG
Molecule: ribosomal RNA, 253 nt
Filed under: uncultured bacterium
Lineage: Bacteria
Description: partial 16S ribosomal RNA
Rfam family: Bacterial small subunit ribosomal RNA
Source: RNAcentral